AACCUGGUUGAUCCUGCCAGUGACCACCGCUAUUGGGAUUCGAUUAAGCCAUGCGAGUCGAGAGGGUUCGGCCCUCGGCGUACGGCUCAGUAACACGUGGAUAAUCUGCCCUUAGGUGGAGGAUAAUCUCGGGAAACUGAGAAUAAUACUCCAUAGAUCUAGACUGCUGGAAUGCUUUUAGAUCAAAAGAUUUAUCGCCUAAGGAUGAGUCUGCGGACUAUCAGGUUGUAGUCAGGGUAAUGACCUGACUAGCCUACGACGGAUACGGGUAGUGAGAGCUAUAGCCCGGAGAUGAUAUCUGAGACACGAUAUCAGGCCCUACGGGGCGCAGCAGGCGCGAAAACUUCGCACUGUGCGAAAGCACGACGAGGGAAUCCCAAGUGUUAGCUCGUAAGAGUUAUCUGUUUCUCUGUCUAAAAAACAGAGAGAGUAAGGGCUGGGUAAGACGGGUGCCAGCCCGCGCGGUAAUACCUGCAGCCCAAGUGGUGGCCGUUAUUAUUGGGCCUAAAACGUCCGUAGCCGGUUUCGUAAAUGCCUA
RNAcentral lists this ribosomal RNA (538 nucleotides) under uncultured eukaryote. RNAcentral's name for it is "SSU rRNA". It matches the Rfam family "Archaeal small subunit ribosomal RNA", at positions 1 to 543 of the family's 1478-position model. The record is from RNAcentral.